GGGCAGGUAGCUCAACAGGUAGAGUGCUACAAUUAUAAAAAUUGUACUAUGACAUGGGUUCGAGCCCCAUCCUUGCCCG
Molecule: transfer RNA, 79 nt
Filed under: Siphoviridae sp. ct6GI21
Lineage: Duplodnaviria; Heunggongvirae; Uroviricota; Caudoviricetes
Description: tRNA-OTHER
Rfam family: tRNA
About the family: Transfer RNA (tRNA) molecules are approximately 80 nucleotides in length. Their secondary structure includes four short double-helical elements and three loops (D, anti-codon, and T loops).
Source: RNAcentral